GAUUAAUUAGUUUAUUAUAAAACGUUAGCCUUGAAAGCUUAAAAAGAACAUAAAAUUUUUAUUAAUCU
This 68-nucleotide transfer RNA is filed under the name Franklinothrips vespiformis. RNAcentral describes it as "tRNA-Ser". It matches the Rfam family "tRNA". Rfam says of the family: Transfer RNA (tRNA) molecules are approximately 80 nucleotides in length. Their secondary structure includes four short double-helical elements and three loops (D, anti-codon, and T loops). Further hydrogen bonds mediate the characteristic L-shaped molecular structure. tRNAs have two regions of fundamental functional importance: the anti-codon, which is responsible for specific mRNA codon recognition, and the 3' end, to which the tRNAs corresponding amino acid is attached (by aminoacyl-tRNA synthetases). tRNAs cope with the degeneracy of the genetic code in two manners: having more than one tRNA (with a specific anti-codon) for a particular amino acid; and 'wobble' base-pairing, i.e. permitting non-standard base-pairing at the 3rd anti-codon position. Lineage: Eukaryota; Metazoa; Arthropoda; Insecta; Thysanoptera; Aeolothripidae. The record is from RNAcentral.